GUGAAAGCCCCCGGGCUUAACCUGGGAACUGCAUUUGAAACUGGUCAACUAGAGUAUGGUAGAGGAAAGUGGAAUUUCUGGUGUAGCGGUGAAAUGCGUAGAUAUCAGAAGGAACAUCGAUGGCGAAGGCAGCUUUCUGGACCAAUACUGACGCUGAGGUACGAAAGCGUGGGUAGCAAACAGGAUUAGAUACCCUGGUAGUCCACGCCGUAAACGAUGAUAACUAGCCGUUGGGAGGGUUUACCUCUUAGUGGCGAAGCUAACGCGUUAAGUUAUCCGCCUGGGGAGUACGGCCGCAAGGCUAAAACUCAAAGGAAUUGACGGGGACCCGCACAAGCGGUGGAGCAUGUGGUUUAAUUCGAUGCAACGCGAAGAACCUUACCUGGUCUUGACAUACAGAGAACUUUCCAGAGAUGGAUUGGUGCCUUCGGGAACUCUGAUACAGGUGCUGCAUGGCUGUCGUCAGCUCGUGUCGUGAGAUGUUGGGUUAAGUCCCGUAACGAGCGCAACCCUUAUCCUUAUUUGCCAGCACUUCGGGUGGGAACUAUAAGGAGACUGCCGGUGAUAAACCGGAGGAAGGCGGGGACGACGUCAAGUCAUCAUGGCCCUUACGACCAGGGCUACACACGUGCUACAAUGGGAAGGACAAAGGGUCGCUAAGCCGCGAGGUGGUGCUAAUCUCAUAAACCUUUUCGUAGUCCGGAUCGGAGUCUGCAACUCGACUCCGUGAAGUCGGAAUCGCUAGUAAUCGUGGAUCAGAACGCCACGGUGAAUACGUUCCCGGGUCUUGUACACACCGCCCGUCAUAC
Molecule: ribosomal RNA, 809 nt
Filed under: uncultured bacterium
Lineage: Bacteria
Description: bacterial SSU rRNA
Rfam family: Bacterial small subunit ribosomal RNA
Source: RNAcentral